This 283-nucleotide ribosomal RNA is filed under the name Conraua goliath. RNAcentral describes it as "partial 12S ribosomal RNA". Lineage: Eukaryota; Metazoa; Chordata; Amphibia; Anura; Petropedetidae. The record is from RNAcentral.
AGGAGCCUGUUCUAUAAUCGAUACCCCCCGCUACACCUAACCAUUUCUAGCUAUUCAGCCUGUAUACCUCCGUCGUAAGCCUACCAUWUGAACGUCCCAUAGUAAGCUUAAUGGUCCUNCACCAAUNNUUCNGGUCAAGGUGCACCCCAUGAAAUGGUAAGCAAUGGGCUACAAUUUCUAACUUAGAACAAACGAAAGAUUUUCUGAAAUAUAAUCGUGAAGGCGGAUUUAGUANUAAAAAGGAAWUNNANCNUCCUUUUUAMCUCGGCCCUGGGACUUGUAC